RNAcentral lists this ribosomal RNA (212 nucleotides) under Aliivibrio sp. Its description in RNAcentral is "partial 16S ribosomal RNA". It matches the Rfam family "Bacterial small subunit ribosomal RNA", at positions 1 to 217 of the family's 1533-position model. The record is from RNAcentral. Lineage: Bacteria; Pseudomonadati; Pseudomonadota; Gammaproteobacteria; Vibrionales; Vibrionaceae.
UUAAUUGAAGAGUUUGAUCAUGGCUCAGAUUGAACGCUGGCGGCAGGCCUAACACAUGCAAGUCGAGCGGUAACAGGAAUUAGCUUGCUAAUUCGCUGACGAGCGGCGGACGGGUGAGUAAUGCCUGGGAAUAUGCCUUAGUGUGGGGGAUAACUAUUGGAAACGAUAGCUAAUACCGCAUAAUGUCUUCGGACCAAAGAGGGGGACCUUCG